RNAcentral lists this ribosomal RNA (421 nucleotides) under uncultured bacterium. RNAcentral describes it as "bacterial SSU rRNA". It matches the Rfam family "Bacterial small subunit ribosomal RNA", at positions 358 to 772 of the family's 1533-position model. The record is from RNAcentral.
AGAAUUUUUCUCAAUGGGCGCAAGCCUGAAGGAGCGACGCCGCGUGGGGGAUGAAGGGUUUCGAUCCGUAAACCCCUGUCAUUUGUGAACAAUGGUUACUAUUUAAAAGAUGGUAACUUGAUAGUAAUGAAAGAGGAAGGGACGGCUAACUCUGUGCCAGCAGCCGCGGUAAUACAGAGGUCCCAAGCGUUGUUCGGAUUCACUGGGCGUAAAGGGUGCGUAGGUGGCUGGGAAAGUUUGAUGUGAAAGCUCAGGGCUCAACCCUGAAAUGGCAUUGAAUACUACUUAGCUGGAGGUUUGGAGGGGGGACUGGAAUUCUCGGUGUAGCAGUGAAAUGCGUAGAUAUCGAGAGGAACACCAGUGGCGAAGGCGAGUCCCUGGACAACACCUGACACUGAGGCACGAAAGCUAGGGGAGCAAA